RNAcentral lists this unclassified non-coding RNA (196 nucleotides) under uncultured cyanobacterium. Its description in RNAcentral is "partial 16S-23S ribosomal RNA intergenic spacer". Lineage: Bacteria; Bacillati; Cyanobacteriota. The record is from RNAcentral.
GAGUUCGAGUCUCCUAACCUCCACUGACCGAACUUUGUCCCCAACUUCAGAGUAUGGAGUUGAGCUCGAGUGGAGUGUGAUUUAGAUGUGUCCGCUGGAAGACCCCAGCUUCCUGUCAUUCUAAAAAUUGAUUGAUUCAGUUUUUAGUUGAUAAGAUGCUGGGCUCGCACUGAGCAAUCAGUGAUGAGUUCUGGCA